Long non-coding RNA from Haliotis rubra (blacklip abalone), 151 nucleotides. RefSeq lists it as uncharacterized. The record is from RefSeq and is a predicted model, not a curated record. NCBI's taxonomy places the organism in Eukaryota, Metazoa, Mollusca, Gastropoda, Lepetellida, Haliotidae. The transcript is spliced from 3 exons.
GGUGGCUGUUACAUUUCUUUUUCCGAGUACAGGAAGCUCGUCACUCGCUUGGAAUAUUCCGUGGAGACAUUCAGCAUACGUCAUCAUUUUGAAAACGAUAGCACUAAAUGUUGAAAAAAUGGUCAAUUUCAAUUACUGGAUGCGUGUAAAA